This 49-nucleotide transfer RNA is filed under the name Euglena viridis. Its description in RNAcentral is "partial tRNA-Arg". The record is from RNAcentral. Lineage: Eukaryota; Euglenozoa; Euglenophyceae; Euglenales; Euglenaceae.
GUCACAGUCGCUCAAUGGACGAGCAUCAAUCUUCUAAGUUGACAUUUGU